GGCGGGUCUCCCCGCAUGGCUAUGUCGUGAAUCGGGUCAGGUCCGGAAGGAAGCAGCCCCAGCGACGGGUGCCAGUGCCGGGGUAAGGCUCGCCACU
RNAcentral lists this signal recognition particle RNA (97 nucleotides) under Thiobacillus sp. Its description in RNAcentral is "signal recognition particle sRNA small type". It matches the Rfam family "Bacterial small signal recognition particle RNA". From Rfam's summary of the family: The signal recognition particle (SRP) is a universally conserved ribonucleoprotein involved in the co-translational targeting of proteins to membranes. Archaeal SRP consists of a 7S RNA and homologues of the eukaryotic SRP19 and SRP54 proteins. Lineage: Bacteria; Pseudomonadati; Pseudomonadota; Betaproteobacteria; Nitrosomonadales; Thiobacillaceae. The record is from RNAcentral.